AGAAAGAAGGUCAGGCUUGGUGUUCCAGAAAUGGGAUUCUCAAAGGAGCUGGAGAUGAGGACAGGGCCUUCACAGUGACAGAGACGUUCCUGCAGCCCGAAGGUGGGACACCGCUGAUGUGGCCCUGUGCCCUUCCUGGGGGAUGCCGUGGAAGCUGGCGGAAUGGCUGCUCCGCUUCUCACCAGCAGCUUUGAUGGAAGAUCACUUGGCAUCGGAGGCUGAUGAUCGUGGCCCAGAGAAGAACUGGAUCGUGGGGGUUCUCUGAGAAAUGCAGAAGUUUACAUCUCCUCAAGUGGGCUGUAAUAUCCAGUCAGCAUGCGACUCCCUUGGAGACAGCCGGCGUAAGAAGUGAGUCCAACUCCUGAAGAGAGGUCAACAGAAUCCGUUUCGCCGAACUCCAAGACAACGCGGCCCACACGCUGUGGACCAUACGCGCACACAACCACAAGAAGAAGCCUGCGGCAUGUGUGAGGACCGUCACGCUAAACACAGCUAGCGAAUCGCAGGUCUUCGGUUUACGGAACACUGAGUGCAAAAGGGAAGGACUCAAAAAUUAAACAGCUAUAUGUCUGCCCACUGCCCUCGAAAAACACAUUUCCUUUCCUUAGAACUUCAAGUACCGCAGUCAGCCACAGGGAUUCAAAUAAAUCAUGGGUUUUCACCUGGGGGGUCCACACAGACAUAGCAUAAAUUGGCAACAUGAAUCGCCAAUAUUAUCAUCCACUUGUAUGCAACACUAAAAAUAUUCAUAGAGGACCACCCUGUUCAAAUAAAAAAGAAAUAUGACAGCACCCCCCCUCCCAAGUUUAUAUGAUCAUGUCUUACUGGUAGGAGUUCCUAGUUCUGCACUGUUUUCAUUUGGUGGGGGUCACUGGUUUAAGAAAAGUAUAUAUACUAUCAGAAAAAAAGGCUACAGCCCAGGUACAGUUUUGAACUCCAAGGUACAAAUAAAGUUAAUGUACCCAAAUGAUACAAAAAUGUUCCUCAGAGUCCAUUUCUGUACUUUAAAUUAGACUAAAAGGAACAUACCUACAACUGGGGUACAUUUGGAAGACCUUUGAUGGUACAGCCUGAGUGGCAAGGAAUUGUACACCCAAAGGUAAAAUAUGGCUCUUGUUUUCUGACAGUGUAUAUGAACAGAUUCCUAAAAAAUAAUAACACCAGCAGAAGAUGGCUGCAGAUGCAAUGAAUAUAAUAAUUAUGGCAUAAUGACUUGAAAAAUAAAUAGGUUUUCCCUUCAGAUACCCAGGGUAAUUGUUAGCCAUCUAAAUAUAACCGGUGACUGCAGAAAGACAUUUUCAGGCAUACGUCUCUCUGUGCUAGACACUGUCUUACUUCAAACUGACACUUUGAUUUCUCAGUAACACUUUAGUCAUCAUAAAGCAUAAUAUUGCAUUCAUAGAAUAUUAUAAACAUGGCUAUGACUAUCUAUAAAAAGGCAUAACACAUUAUAGCCAUGUGUAUUAUGCAUUAUGAAUGCUUUAUGAUGCUGUCAUCUAUAAUACACUAUAAAUACCUUCAUAAUGCAUUAUAAUGCUCAGUAUAAGCCAAUAAAAUGCACCAUGAAGGUCUUUAUGGUGCAUUGUACAUCAGAGCAUUCAUAAUGCAUAAUAAACGACUACAAUGUGUUACACCUUUUUACAGUUAUACCUCUCUUUAUAAUACUUUAUGAAUGCAUUAUAAUGCAUUAUGAAGGUAUUUAUAGUGCAUUGUACAUCAGAGCAUUCAUAAUGCAUCAUAAACAUGACUACAAUGUGUUACACACCUUUUUAUAAAUAGCUAUACCUCUGUUUAUGAAUGCAUUAUAAACCAUUAUGAAGGUAUCUAUGAAGCAUUAUACGAGUAGUUUAAGUAAAGUGUUACUGAUUUCUCUUUAAAAUUAUAUUUCAGCAUUUCUUCUCCCCACAUGUCUUAAAAGAAUAAUGCAAUGGAUCAUAUCUUUUUAUGUACUCAAGAGCAACUUGGGUCAGGCACAGAGGAACUGCGUAUGCAUCAGCAGCGGGUAAGAUCUCACAGAGAGCUUAAAACCAGCAGAACUGGAGCAAAUCCUGAAGGUGAUUUUUUUUUUUUUUUACCCAUGUAACAGCGGUGCCUGCACACGGUCUGUCUGCACGACUUUAGAAGUACAAUGUUCUGAACAGGCAGAGCACUUGUCAGAUCAAGUGAAUCAAAGUACCGGCAGUUAGAGAGCUUUUAAAUGGUGGUGAUUACCUUGUCAGCAAACCCCUUAAUGAUUCAUUCUACGAGACACUGCGGCAUCCUCCCCACACACACACUUGUUACUGAAAUCCAAUACAAAGAAAACACGUCCCAUAAUUGAGUGCCUCCUUGCACCGGCUCAGUAAUCAGGGGUCUUGAUUGGUCUUAUUUGAGAUGUAAGCCGCACGCUGAUGCUUACUGCAGCCAUGUUGUUUUGAUGUGGGGUGCUCGACGUGGGGAGAGGGAGUGACUGAAUCUGAGCAGUGAGCAUUGAGAAGUGUUUUCAUAUGUAAAGUAACAGGCAUCCUACAAAGUACAAGUAUUUGUCUGUGUAAACUAUGUUUAUUACUUUGGAAAUACAAUACAAACCAUGAAGGAGAA
Brienomyrus brachyistius is the source of this 2580-nucleotide long non-coding RNA. RefSeq lists it as uncharacterized. Lineage: Eukaryota; Metazoa; Chordata; Actinopteri; Osteoglossiformes; Mormyridae. The transcript has 2 exons. The record is from RefSeq and is a predicted model, not a curated record.